Molecule: ribosomal RNA, 498 nt
Filed under: uncultured bacterium
Lineage: Bacteria
Description: partial 16S ribosomal RNA
Rfam family: Bacterial small subunit ribosomal RNA
Source: RNAcentral
AGCGAACGCUAGCGGCAGGCCUAAUACAUGCAAGUCGAACGGUACAUGUUGUAGCAAUACGAUAUGAGAGUGACGUACGGGUGCGUAACACGUAUGCAACCUACCCAAAACAGGAGUAUAGCUCGGGGAAACUCGAAUUAACACUUCAUAGUAUCAUUUGGUGGCAUCAUUAGAUGAUUAAAACUACGGUGGUUUUGGAUGGGCAUGCGUCUGAUUAGUUAGUUGGCGGGGUAACGGCCCACCAAGGCGAUGAUCAGUAGGGGAACUGAGAGGUUGAUCCCCCACACUGGCACUGAGAUACGGGCCAGACUCCUACGGGAGGCAGCAGUAGGGAAUAUUGGUCAAUGGAUGCAAGUCUGAACCAGCCAUGCCGCGUGCAGGAAGAAGGCCUUCUGGGUUGUAAACUGCUUUUGCCAGGGGAUAAAAUGGGCAUGCGUGCCUAAUUGAAGGUACCUGGUGAAUAAGCCACGGCUAACUACGUGCCAGCAGCCGCAGUAA